Molecule: small RNA, 666 nt
Filed under: Arabidopsis thaliana (thale cress)
Lineage: Eukaryota; Viridiplantae; Streptophyta; Magnoliopsida; Brassicales; Brassicaceae
Description: ATSL051230
Source: RNAcentral
AAGAAUUGUUUAACAUUAAAACAAAAUUAUAUGCAUUAAAAACAAAUUAAGUCACAUUAGUUUGAUAACUUACACUCAACUUUGCAUUUUGCAACAUAUAAAACCUUUUGUUUAUCUCUUUCGCACAAUUUUAUUUGUUUCUCUGUCUUUUAUUUGAAAUCUUGUGUAAAGACAAUGUCUUCAAAGAGCCUUGCAGAAGUGAGUGGUGAAAUGAACCUAAAGAUUGAAGAACGUCCUGCUGAAUAAGCAGUUGCUACGUCACUAUCCUCAAGCUUAUCCAGUAAAUGGACGUCCAGUCGAUGAAAUUGCUCUUGUAGUGGCCAUUGCGAACCUUGAAUAUGAGAAAAAAAAAAGUUGAAAAGGCUAUCCUUAGAGAUGGAAAACUCGAUGGUACAAAUGACUUCUUAUAUAUUAAAAGAACCACAGUGAUAGGUUAAUCAUGAUUUCUUAAUUAUGUAAAUACAUAAUUGAGAAUUUUCUCUAUCUCUAAACACUUAUUAGAUUGGUACGUGGAAACCCCACUAUUGAUACUUUUAUUUCAAAAUCUCUUAUGUAAAUAAAUUAUUUAGAAAGUGCUAUGUUUUUCAGCACCUAAAUGGUUUAAAUGUAGCUAGUUGCUACUGCAAGAGUUUGACAACGAUUAAAUUGAAAAUGACUAAAACAAAU